RNAcentral lists this ribosomal RNA (449 nucleotides) under uncultured bacterium. RNAcentral's name for it is "partial 16S ribosomal RNA". It matches the Rfam family "Bacterial small subunit ribosomal RNA", at positions 28 to 523 of the family's 1533-position model. The record is from RNAcentral.
GACGAACGCUGGCGGCAGGCUUAACACAUGCAAGUCGAACGCAUCCUUCGGGGUGAGUGGCAGACGGGUGAGUAACGCGUGGGAAUCUACCUCUUGCUACGGGAUAGCUCCGGGAAACUGGAAUUAAUACCGUAUGUGCCCUUCGGGGGAAAGAUUUAUCGGCAAGGGAUGAGCCCGCGUUGGAUUAGCUAGUUGGUGGGGUAAAGGCCUACCAAGGCGACGAUCCAUUGCUGGUCUGAGAGGAUGAUCAGCCACAUUGGGACUGAGACACGGCCCAAACUCCUACGGGAGGCAGCAGUGGGGAAUAUUGGACAAUGGGCGCAAGCCUGAUCCAGCCAUGCCGCGUGAGUGAUGAAGGUCUUAGGAUUGUAAAGCUCUUUCACCGGGGACGAUAAUGACGGUACCCGGAGAAGAAGCCCCGGCUAACUUCGUGCCAGCAGCCGCCGCGG